This 257-nucleotide ribosomal RNA is filed under the name uncultured bacterium. Its description in RNAcentral is "partial 16S ribosomal RNA". It matches the Rfam family "Bacterial small subunit ribosomal RNA", at positions 99 to 354 of the family's 1533-position model. The record is from RNAcentral.
CGGACGGGUGAGUAACACGUGAGCAACCUGCCUUCGAGAGGGGAAUAACGGCUGGAAACGGUCGCUAAUACCGCAUAACAUACAGGAGGGACAUCCCUUUUGUAUCAAAGAUUUAUCGCUCGAAGAUGGGCUCGCGUCCGAUUAGGCAGUUGGUGAGGUAAUGGCCCACCAAGCCGACGAUCGGUAGCCGGACGUGAGAGGUUGAACGGCCCACAUUGGGACUGAGACACGGCCCAGACUCCUACGGGAGGCAGCAG